Molecule: RNA transcript, 2576 nt
Organism: Panicum virgatum (switchgrass)
Lineage: Eukaryota; Viridiplantae; Streptophyta; Magnoliopsida; Poales; Poaceae
Exons: 8
Source: RefSeq, a predicted model, not a curated record
GUUCUGUCCUCUUCCCCCAAACUCCUUGGCGCUGGCAAACUCGAUUCCCUUUCUAUUCUGCACCUCAUCCGGUCAUCCCCAUCCUCAUUCCCCUCUCUUCCCUGCAAUUCAUCCCUAAUCACAUCUUCCCGUUCGUGAAGUCUUCGUCUUCUCCAAUAUUUUACCACGGCCCAAACUCCCCGCUCCCAGAUUCACCAUGGAUCCGGUAUGCCCGGGUCGAUGUGGGCAGCCAUUGCAAGAGCCCGUGUUCCGUUGCUUCUGCGGUGAUCCAGCUUGGUCCCUUACCUCUGGAACAGAGCGUAAUCCUGGCCGCAAAUUCUUCAUCUGCCAGAAGGCAUCAGUUGGGAGGGUUUUGUACCGAUGAUUUUAGUCUUGAACUCUUGAUUCACUCCUCUGCUCUCUUUUCCCCUCUUUUUUUUUCAUUUUUCACUGAGCGCAGAUCUUUUUUUUUUGUUUGGUAGGGCUGCAAGCUUUGGAUUUGGGAGGAUGGUCUUUUGAGAUAUGUUGCGGAAAUGGUCGAGUACAGCGCCGCAUCGACGCAUGAUUGUCUCCAUGAGCAGCUUUCGAUUGCCCGUGAAGCUUUGGUCAACUGUAAGGAGAAGCUUGCUAGUGUCUCCGAAGAAGCUGAUGAUUUGGUGCUGAAAGUCCAAGAUUUGGAAGUCAAGUUGCUAGAGUCUCAGGACACCGUGCAUCGUUUGCAUCAGGAUCAGGCAAGCUGGCUGAAGAUUUUUGCCACCUUACUUGUGGUGCUUGCAUUUGUUUCUUGGUGCAUGAUGAACUAUCCUAAGUCUAUAGUUGUCAGGAAGUGAAGAUGGUAUUUGUCAGUAGCUAUCCUGUUUCGGUACCGAAGGAGAAUUGGUACUCUUGUUCCUAUCUCAACUUACGUUCCCAAUCAUACUGAAUUCAAUGGCGACGGCGAAAUCCUUGGACCUGAAGAAGGUGAACCAGACCACAUUGUUCUCAGCGCUGCUGCGACCAUGGCGAUGUCUGUCAACAGUCCUAUUAUGAAUGAAGAUCUCUUUGGCUGCUUGUUAGAAAACAAUGCCACUGACAUGGAAACAGCCUUCCAACACGUGGGGCUGAAUGACAACAACUUGGAUUAUGGAAUUGAUGAUCAUUCUUCUAAUGCAGCAAGUGAUAAUUCUUCUAAUUCAGAAAGUCUUCUGCCUGUAGCAUAUCCUUGCAAUGCAGUUUCAUGCAUUAAUGGUAUGUGCCGAACAAAAAAUUCAAGUAAAUGGUUUUUCUUGAUUAUGAGCUAUUCAUUCGUUCCAACAAACCUUUUUCACUGUAAUGGAGUUCUCCUACAAACUCCCCAAACAUUCACCUUUUUCCUAAUGGAGUUCUCCUACAACCUUUGCCCCCUUAUUCUUAACAGAAACAACUCCCCAAACAUUCACUACAAACAGCUUACCAUUGAUUGCCUUGCAUCCUUUCGCCGCGCAAGGGAGCCCUGAAACAUCUAAACCAGGUUGGUUUAUUUCAGCACCAUCUCAAAAUAAGGAUUAGAUAUGUCACCAACUAAAAGUUUGUACCAGAAAGUUCACCCUAAUACAAUGCUUUAUAUACUGUGCAAUUAACAUAAGUAUGUUCCCAUUCAGGUUCAGAUGUUUUUGGUUUUGGUACUGGCCUACAUAAUGUCAACAGACCUAACGAAUUGAACCUAAACUUGUCUCAAAGUGCAACUGGAUGCAUGGAUGGCCCUGGAAUCGAAGUCCACCACAACCCGGCAUCACCAGAAUUCACCUUGCAUCGUUCUAUCACUGAAAAAUUCAACAUUGUUUGCAUCCCUUGGUAUUUGUCGCGAUACAAAUUCAAGCAACAUGGAAACUGAAUCUUCACUGCUGGUGCAACUAGUCACUGAUGAUAAUGCAUCAGAGGUGGUUGCUAGUCAGGAAUCAUCGCUCAGGGUAGACAUCUCAUCUGAGGUUGCAGAGUUGAAUUGUCAUACACGUGUGGACAGUAAGCAUGACUGGAUGGGAUAGAUGCUUCACAGUUGGUCUUGGCGCUAGUUGCCACAGGAACAACUCUGGUCUUUUUGCCACUCAUUAUGCUCGCGCUUUUGAUGGGCACCAUCUUUUAUGGGAACUUAAGACGCCUGACCACGGAAUAAAUCGUGCCGAGUUACUGUACCAACUCCUUAGCAUGCCAGGAAACUAUGGAGACAUCCCAGAAUUGCUGAUUGACCUGAUGGAAAUUUGAAAGAUGAUGCUUCUGACCAGGACACAAGAGAUCAUGCACAAUGUCUACUUGUUUUGGUAUUUGUGGGAAAGAAAGUAGAAUUGUUUAGUUCUCUUGUUUCAGCACCAUUCUAGUAAGGUUUCCUUUUGGUUCUUUUGAAAUGAACACUGUGUAAGUGUUAAGAACUUUAGCUUCUCCCUGUGAACUAGUUCUACCUUAUCGUUACCAGCAGCUGUGCAACCAGUUGAGACCAUGUAACCUAAAUAGUGCAUCGGUGCUUAGUGCUAUGUCCUUCAAUGCCACUAAGUAAUCUUUUUUUCUGACACUUUUGAAUGUAUUUCUGGUGAUACUCUAAAUUAUCUACUUUAUCUGACUAUUAUAGAAAGUUUCUGUAGUUA